UAAUGGAUGAGCCGCAACCUCAACUAAUAAGGCAAAUCCAAAAUCCGGUGUUACAAAUUCAGUCGGUUAAAUCCAUGUUAUAUAGCAUCUUAGUCUUCUUCAAUCUUUGUGUGUGUGUGUGUUUUUUGUUUUGUGUUUAUAGGUUCGAAGCAGCCAUCAACAAUAGACACUUCCACUGCUUGUGUUCAAGCUUGAAUAAGUCACCGCUCUCAAUCAUCCAUCGCUACAAACAAUCCCCUAUUCUUCUCUUUCCCCACUGCUUUAUGUCGUCGCCUUUUUAUCUCAGGAAUAUAACGUUUAAAGGAAUGAGGGUUUGGAACGAUGGUAUUGUAUUAAUCAAUUUAUGUGUUCUUGGGUUAUGCCAUCACCACAUUGUGGUUCUGAUUGGUUCCCCUUCAUUGUAUAUGGUUAUCCAUCCUAUUUAAUUUUUGUUUUUGGAUAGCUUGAAGAAAAGGGCAAUUUUCGUGUUCCUCAAUCAUCACAGGUUGAAAUUCCUUUAUCCUUUGCAGGUUUAGUCACAAUCCCUCCUCUCCCUUUUUGAUUUAUAUGUUCUUUUUUUAUCUAAUCUAAUUGAAUCGAAAUUCGUCUCAACAUAAAUAUGUGUAAUCGAAAGUCACAUCUCCUCUACUAUCAAUCUCUGUAUUUAAACCCUCUAUUUGAAAAUCCCUAAACCCAUUAGUUUACCCUUUCAUUUUUAUUAACAUAAUAGGGUUCAAGAUAAUUUCGAUUAGCUAAUUUGUUAAUUCUUUAUCUCAUUUAAUUUUCAGGGGUGUCGUUUUUGUUGUUGCCUAAGCCGACCUUCUCCUCCCUGGUUGAAAGGCUUUCCAAGAAUUUUUGGAAGGACAUCCCUGAUAUUGCAUUGGGAUAAUGACUUAAAAGGGUAAUAUAUUUUUCGAUUUGUACACAUUUGGUCACUAAGUUUUUUUCUAUCCACAUUUACCCCUUCAACUUGUUAAACUGUACACAUCCAGUCCUUAUUACCGGUUACUCCAGGUUAGCCAGGAAAAAUGACUUAUUAGGGUAAUAUAUUUCUCAUAUAUUUUUAUACACAUUUAGUCCUUAAUUUUUUUGUUUCAAAAUAAGUCUCUUUUUCUUUUUGUACCCAUUCAGUACUUAUGAAUGAUUUAUUUAGGGUUUUUUCUCACGACAUCUAACGUGAGACUAUCAUUGAUGGGGUGUUUGAGGCUAUUGAUGUUUAUGUGCAUUGCAACCUCGACUGCUUGUUUGCAUAGGUUUUGUGGUUUGGCUUAGGUUUUGUGUUCUGAACGUCAUAACUUCUUCAUACGAUAUCUGAUUUUAACGAUCUUUAUAUCCAUGUGUUGGUUUUUUAAGUCUACUAUAACUUUCGUUAAGAUUACUCCCAUUAAAAUAUAAUAUGUUUUUA
Lactuca sativa (garden lettuce) is the source of this 1384-nucleotide non-coding RNA. The record is from RefSeq and is a predicted model, not a curated record. NCBI's taxonomy places the organism in Eukaryota, Viridiplantae, Streptophyta, Magnoliopsida, Asterales, Asteraceae.